Molecule: ribosomal RNA, 477 nt
Filed under: uncultured bacterium
Lineage: Bacteria
Description: SSU rRNA
Rfam family: Bacterial small subunit ribosomal RNA
Source: RNAcentral
AGGACGAACGCUGGCGGCGUGCUUAACACAUGCAAGUCGAGCGGUGAUCCUCCUUCGGGAGGUGAGCAGCGGCGAACGGGUGAGUAACACGUGGGCAACCUGCCCCUCACACUGGGAUAACCUCGGGAAACCGGGGCUAAUACCGGAUAUGACCUCGAGCGGCAUCUCUUGAGGUGGAAAGCUCCGACGGUGAGGGAUGGGCCCGCGGCCUAUCAGCUUGUUGGUGGGGUAAUGGCCUACCAAGGCGACGACGGGUAGCCGGCCUGAGAGGGCGACCGGCCACACUGGGACUGAGACACGGCCCAGACUCCUACGGGAGGCAGCAGUGGGGAAUAUUGCGCAAUGGGCGAAAGCCUGACGCAGCGACGCCGCGUGAGGGAUGAAGGCCUUCGGGUUGUAAACCUCUUUCAGCAGGGACGAAGCGAAAGUGACGGUACCUGCAGAAGAAGCACCGGCUAGCUACGUGCCAGCAGCCGC